GCCCUCAUGGCACAGCUGGAAUAGCGCAGUCCCCUCCUAAGGGACAGGUGCGUAGGUUCGAAUCCUACUGGGGGCGCCA
RNAcentral lists this transfer RNA (79 nucleotides) under Vibrio parahaemolyticus. Its description in RNAcentral is "tRNA-Arg". It matches the Rfam family "tRNA". Rfam says of the family: Transfer RNA (tRNA) molecules are approximately 80 nucleotides in length. Their secondary structure includes four short double-helical elements and three loops (D, anti-codon, and T loops). Further hydrogen bonds mediate the characteristic L-shaped molecular structure. tRNAs have two regions of fundamental functional importance: the anti-codon, which is responsible for specific mRNA codon recognition, and the 3' end, to which the tRNAs corresponding amino acid is attached (by aminoacyl-tRNA synthetases). tRNAs cope with the degeneracy of the genetic code in two manners: having more than one tRNA (with a specific anti-codon) for a particular amino acid; and 'wobble' base-pairing, i.e. permitting non-standard base-pairing at the 3rd anti-codon position. The record is from RNAcentral. Lineage: Bacteria; Pseudomonadati; Pseudomonadota; Gammaproteobacteria; Vibrionales; Vibrionaceae.